UUUGUCUGCAUUUUCAAUAUCACCUAAAUUUCUUUGUUCAGUGGACAGCAUCACUUUGUGACCUCUGUUCCCUAACAGUAUUGACAUCAUAGUUUGGCCAGCAAAGGAUAUUCCAGUAUUAAAUUAUUCAACCCAAGCUCAAGAUACAACACUGAAAUAUCUUAGUAGGGAGAGGACAUCAUCUAACAAAAGAACAAGAUGACGUUAGACGCACUUAACCGUGAUAAUGCAGAAACUAAAUCAACGAUUUGAAAGAAUUCUAUGUUAUUAUAGAAGGUAGAGGAACAUAGUGUGCCUGCAUAUCACAAUACAAGAACAAGUUAAUAUCUCGCAUCUUUUUUUGUUCAAAAAAAAAAGAUGGA
Limulus polyphemus (Atlantic horseshoe crab) is the source of this 362-nucleotide long non-coding RNA. RefSeq lists it as uncharacterized. The transcript is spliced from 3 exons. Lineage: Eukaryota; Metazoa; Arthropoda; Merostomata; Xiphosura; Limulidae. The record is from RefSeq and is a predicted model, not a curated record.